CAAUGGGCGCAAGCCUGAACGAGCAACGCCGCGUGCAGGAUGACGGCUUUCGGGUUGUAAACUGCUUUUUGGGGGGACGAUAAUGACGGUACCCCCGGAAUAAGCCCCGGCUCACUCUGUGCCAGCAGCCGCGGUAAUACAGAGGGGGCAAGCGUUGUCCGGACUUACUGGGUGUAAAGCGCAUGCAGGUGGCUGUGCAAGUAUGCUGUGAAAGCCCCGUGCUUAACACGGGGAGGCCAGUAUAGACUGCACGGCUCGAGGACUGCAGAGGGUAGGGGAAUUGCUGGUGUAGUGGUGAAAUGCGUAGAGAUCAGCAGGAACACCAAGGCCGAAGGGACCUACCUGGGCAGUAUCUGACACUCAAGUGCGACAGCGUGGGGAGCGAACCGGAUUAGAUACCCGGGUAGUCCACGCCGUAAACGAUGGAUGCUCGGCGUUUGGGGGGGAAACCUCCUGGGCGCCUCAGCUGACGCGGAAGCAUCCCACCUGGGAACUACGAG
RNAcentral lists this ribosomal RNA (500 nucleotides) under uncultured bacterium. RNAcentral's name for it is "bacterial SSU rRNA". It matches the Rfam family "Bacterial small subunit ribosomal RNA", at positions 369 to 886 of the family's 1533-position model. The record is from RNAcentral.